AACAGCGAUGGGAAGGGGCUCGGGUAUCGCUGCACAAACAGAUUUCUGUUUGCAUAGCUGUUGGGGAACGGCUGUGCCAGGAUGCGCAGAAACAACUAUUUAUGAAUUAUUUACAUUUCUUUAGUUGCUGCUCAUCGUUUGUUAUUCCUCUGUUUAAACAGUUUGUCCUCUGUUCCAGGAGCAGAAGGAAAGCCAAAAUGACUUCAGUGACAGCUCAGAUAUCCCACAGAAUGACUAGUAGGAGCAGAACAGCAGGAGCUGGAAUACGGCGAGGACUUUCCCCUCCAGGGAAAGCCAUCUCCAGUCAUGAAAAGGAGUUGAAGGUAGCAGAUGGCCUACGCACCCAUCAUCAAGGCAGACUUCUGUUGGUGAAGACCAGAGAUUUUGGUCUAAGCAAGUUGGCUGCCUGAGAUGAGAAUACCCUAAGAUGAGGAAGAUGCUGCUGUAAUCAAGGCAACAGGGAACCAGAUACGCAGUGGCCACAGGCUGGGCUACGGACGUCCCUUCCCACUAGUGAAUAUUCAGUCUCUUUGGAAAGAGGUGGUUCUUCUUCUGUGGAGGAAAGUCUCACAACACAGGUCUUUGUCUUUUGAUGGAAUAUGUUCCAAGGAAAGUCUUCCCCAACUCCAGCUGAUUCUGGAGGCUCCCAGAUGCUUCCUUCACUUUGUGCAAUGCAGUGGCCGUGGGAAAUGUGCGCAAGCAGGAAUUUAAAACCAGACACCCAGGAGGGAUGAGAACUUCUCAGCGAUAUGGAAACAACGAACAUGCGGGCUGUAACCAGCAGGCAGGAUUUUGUGGACAUGAUGAGCCUGAGAAAUGGAGAGAAUAUUUCUGCUGCAGGUUCAGGACGGCCCACAGCAGAGGCAGGCACGUGGGGGGAAAGCAGCAGCUUCCCAGAUCUCACCUGGAGAUUGCAGCGCUUGGAAAGCACGGCUCAAAAUAACCCUUCCCUCUUCUGCCAGCAUGCUGUGCCACAGAUGAGGAAAACCCCCAGAAUCAUUUUUGGGUAUUCAUUCCUUGUGUGAAUGCUGAGGUAAGGAGGGGCGGAAGCCCUUUCCUUCAAACCACACGGGAGAAAACCUGCUGCAGUGCCUGUAAGGAAUUUUCAGAAAACUUUUGUGAGUUUCUACUGGAACCACAAGCCUUUUUUAUCCUUCCACAAUUUUUCUGUCUAACUUUUAAAGGCACUUUUACUGAAGAUUUACUGAUAGCAACCUUCUACUGAGUGCAUUUGAUCGCUCCAUAUUUCAGAAACAAUGUAAGAAUGGAAAAAUCUCUCUCUUUAGGCUCCAUUAUCUUACACUCCUGUUGUCGGCACUGAGUUAUAAAGAACCGGUGCUAUGCGUAAAACGCUGAAUGGCUUAACUGCUCAGAACAUAAAAUGAAAGCACUAAACUUAUCAGUUUUGUGUAAAAAACAUGCACUUUUCCCUUACAAUAAACAAAUAGAUAUAUAACAGCAAGCAAAAUAAAGCAGGCAAAUGCCUUGUCUUCUCUCCUUGGUGUGCUGGGCUGCAGUUGCCUGCUGUAAGAAAAUACAUCGCUGGCAUUGACUCUAUGCUCCGUGAUGGGAAUGAGAGUUGCCGUCUAUUCACAGCCUCGGUGGCAAAUUGGGUCAUUUCCAGGGGUAGUACUGUAAGAGAUUUUGUCUCUAAAAUUAGAGCCCCCUCUCCAAAUGCACAGGUCCAGCAUAGCCGUAGAGAGCACCCCAAUUUUGUGUUGUGGUUGUGAUCGUCCUGCCAGCAAUGAAAAUCUGCUGGGCAAGCUGUGUCUGCUUGUGAUAAAAUUGAUAAGAUAAAUGAUUUUUGUAGACAAAGGAAAUG
Long non-coding RNA from Oxyura jamaicensis (ruddy duck), 1822 nucleotides. RefSeq lists it as uncharacterized. The record is from RefSeq and is a predicted model, not a curated record. The transcript is spliced from 5 exons. NCBI's taxonomy places the organism in Eukaryota, Metazoa, Chordata, Aves, Anseriformes, Anatidae.